This is an RNA transcript of Myiozetetes cayanensis, 8436 nucleotides long. It is a transcript of the gene named DnaJ heat shock protein family (Hsp40) member C24, with no coding region annotated. The record is from RefSeq and is a predicted model, not a curated record. NCBI's taxonomy places the organism in Eukaryota, Metazoa, Chordata, Aves, Passeriformes, Tyrannidae. The transcript has 7 exons.
GCGCCCAGGCGGCCUCGCUGCGGAGGCCCGAGGUCCUUUUCCUUCCAGCAUUUAAAAAAAAAAAAGAAAAAAAAUUUAUAAAAGCUGUUUAUUUACACAGCUCUUGCCUGCCGGAGGUGGUGUUUCUUAUCAGGGAGUUCAUGUGCUAAGGAGGCAGUUUCAAAGGCAGUCGGGCAGUGGCCUUUGGAAGGAUGGCACAGAAGGAUUGGUACCAGGUGCUGGGAGCCAAACCAUCGGACAGCCCUGCGGAGCUGAAGAGGAAGUACCAAAAACUCGCCUUAUUGUAUCACCCAGACAAGCAGGAGGCAGAUGUGCCGGCAGGAGAAGCGGAGCAGCGCGUGCAGCGGUUCAUCGAAGUCGAUCAGGCGUGGAAAAUUCUGGGGAACGAGGAGACAAAAAAAGAGUAUGACCUGCAGCGGCGUGCAGAUAACCUGACAAAAGAAUGGCCACUUCAUGAACAAGUUUACCUUGAGGACAUGUCCUGGAAUGAAGAUGAACAGCUCUACACGCUGUCCUGUCGAUGUGGUGGGAGUUACAGUGUCUCCAAGAGUGAAACCAAAGAUGUGUCUGUGGUUUGCUGUGACACGUGCUCGCUUGUUAUCGAGAUCCUUCAGUGACCGUUUAAAGGAAGCUCAUGAACUGUUACAAACUUUGCAAGAGACUGGACAGACAAGUGGCUGAAGAAAUCCAUGUUAAGAAAAGGGGGGGCACUACAAGAACAAGUAUGUUCAGGCUUAAAAAUGACAGGUGCCUCUUUGCUGACACAGAUAGAUCUGCAUUGGUGUUUUUCCUUCUGCAGCCAAAGAGCUCCUUACCAAACACCUCCAAACCUGGACCACUGGAAUGUAUCCCGUGAUCUAAACAACGUUUCUUUUCCAGCAAACAACAGAGCAGAUCUUCCCCUUUCAGCCUCUAUCAGCUGUCCCUUGGGCCCUUCCUCUGAGGUUAAAUCCUUUCCACAGCUCAGAUGACAAAAGUCACUCAGGAGGCAUAAAUGUGAGAACACUUGGAAGAUAAUGAAGAGCAAGGUGCAGUAAUGGGAAACAGGAACAUUUUCUAUUUAUAAGCAUCUGAUCUCCAGGAAGGAACACAGUCACUGUCCAGGAACAGCCACCUGCUCUGUAGCUGAGUUCAUGGAACAGCCCCAGCACAGGACUCUUUCCUGCUUUCUGUGUGGAGUGAAGAAGGAAUUUUCUCAUUUCAAAGAGGAAGCACAGUGCCAGGGUUCAAUUAUUUCUAACCCUGUGAUUCAUCCCCAGCACUGAAGACCAUGACAGAAGGGGCAGAGAGAGAGUUAAGGACGGGAAUGGCAGGACACAGCAUCAUUCCUGCAGCCUGGGACUGGGCACUGCUGGAAGCUCCCUGUGCUCAGCUGGGCUGGGCCCUGGGGGAGGCAGAAGGAUGUGAGUCACUCUCAGGACCUCAAGUUCUGUGGAUCAGGAAAAGGCUCAAAGCUCCCUUGUGGCAAGGACCUCAGAGAAUACCUCAGAGAAUACCUGUGGGUUUGGCAUGUGCAGGUGGAGCAUGAGGAACAUCUGCUGCUACACAAAACCACAGAGGUAACACCUCCUCUCUGUGCACAUCAGCCAGGGAGCUAUUUUAAGGUCCACACAGCAACAGAAGGAUAUUUGUGAUCCUGGUUAGAAGCAAAGCCCUGGAAUUCAAGGCUGUCCAGAGGGCCUGUGCUGGCUGCAGGCUGGGUGUCGAGUCUUUGUUUGGCCUCGAAGGCAAACAGAAGCAAAAGGAAAUAGAAAUAUCCCAUAUUACAAAUCUAAGCUGAUCUGAGUAAAGGCCUGGAGAGGGAAGUUUGUUAGGCCAUUCACUACAGCACAAAUCUCCUUUCAGGCAACUCAAAUCACACCUAUUGCAAUUUGACUUUCUUGCAGUGAAAGGAAUCAACUUUGCUUUAAAUGCUGCUUUGACAAUUUAGCUUCAAUUUCAUCACAGUAAUCUUAGUGGUAGAGUUAGAAGGAAAAUGGUGUUCUGUGUGCUCUGCCUGCAGGGAGAACCUGAGAAAAAAUACUCAUGGCUGGAAACGAGAUGGAAACCCUUCCUCUGUGAAACAAAGACCUGCCACUGUGUCGUAAUUCCCAAGUCCUUUAAAGUUAUGACAGAAGUUGACUGUGACUUGUUCAUUCAGACUGGCUAUUCCAAUUAGCAGCUACUUGGCCUCUUUGGUUUGGCCUACAUAGAUAGAUCUGAUCUGAUGGACGGGGCAUAAAUGGGGCUAACUAGCUCUUUUGAAGAUCCACCACAGGUCUGGUUUUGACAUGGAGCCUAAACCCAGGGAAUGCACAGGAUAUCCUACCUAGGACAGGAUGAAGCGUGAGCUCUGUCAGAGUGGGACUCUCAGUGCUUUCACUGAAUUUGCAGCUGCUUUGAUUUCAGCAGCCCCUCACGGAAUGGACUCGGCUCUUGGAGGGGCAGUGGACACGGUGGCACGGAGGGAAAGGAGCAAAGAUGACCACAUAUUGUGAUUUCCCUGUGGGGUAAAUCUGGUGCACCAACAGUGACUGAGAAUCUUCUGUCUAAACUUCACAGAUAAAACAUUUAUGUUCUGCCAAGGACAGGCUGCCCAGACAAACUCGGGUUGGCUCAGCUCACUCUCUUCUGUUGGAAUCCAUGAAAUUACUUCCAAAUUAGCCUUGGGUUUGUUUGCGUCCUUUCCUAGAAAUGUAACUUAGCACUGAAAGGCAUCUGCUUCUCCAAAAUCCACUGGAUGAUAAAGCCACAAAAGCUUCCAUUCUGAAGGCAGUAAAAAAGUGUUUCAUGAAGGAGAAGCCAAACCUCCAGACUCUGCACUGAAAGUACACACAGGUUUUUUGGCCAGUGGUCUCCUGUUUAUCCCCCACCACGCAGACUGAACCCUGCUGCCUUUCACUGUGAUGUUCAGCAGCAACACACAGUACCAAGACCACUGCACUCUGAUGUGAAUCACCACGAACAACCCAAACUAGAAACACUCACUUGAAGACUAAACUCAUUUUUGCUCUUGUUAAGCACCAUAUACUUAAAUCUCAUGAAAACAUGGAUAAUCACUACUCUAUGCACCAUCCUAGAACAACAGCAGUACAAGCUGGUUAAAUAAUUAUGCUGAUUAAGUAUCAAGUGAUUGCUGACUGUCUCUUUUAACACACAGUGUUCUGGAGUCCUAAAGCAGCACUUCAGUAUUACUGCACACAUUAUCUGUGUGUAAGUUCCACUCAUUUCACAGAGUUUACUCAGGGUUCAGUCCCGACAGUCACUUCAAUAGUCUCUCAAACACCUUCCUUGUUGGGGCACAAGCUGGACACAAAUCUUCUGCUGUGGAGAGAUCCUGAGACUGAUUCUGGCUGCCCCCAUCCACAGGUUCCUGGUGCACACCACAGUACAGAGCAGUGUCCUGACCCUUCUGCUGCAAACUCCUGGUCCAGCAUCUACUGGAAUCACAAGCCAUCCAUCCAGCUCCAGUCACUGGGAAAGGCUAUCCCAGCAAAUACACCCGCAGGAGAAGCAGGAAUUGCUAUGGUAGGAGGAGGUUUUUUCGUUAAAUACAAAAGGCAAACCAAGGUUAACGUUCCUUGUUACUGAAAAAGCAUCACCUGGAAUGCGCUCCUGUUCCACUCCCAGCCCUGCUGCUUCCUCUGCUUCCUCACUUCCCCAAAUUCAAAGGCAGAAUGGGAAGCUCAUCUUUUAUUACUUGAAAUAAAGACCCACUCAUAACUCAGGUAUAUCCAAACACUUCCUAGAACACUUCCCGUUUUUAUUCCAUGCUCCAGAAGUAUGAAAAAUACAAUAAAUUGCUUUUGCCAGUGAUGGCAUAACACUCCUUCCAACACUAGGAAUAAUUACUUGUCUACACAAGAUGUUCACAGUUUGCAUUCCAGGUGGAACAUCUGCAGUGAAGCAUCUUCCUACAUCCUGAAAUUCACCACUAAAGGUAACUUUUUCUCCAUGGAGGGUAUGACAGGCCCCUGUACCUCCGAAUUUAUCGUUCCUGUCACAAUGUAUGAUCCAUCUAGAUGCACUGUAAUACCUCUGUGUGGUGUCUGGCCACCAUCUAGGCCCUUCACUGCAACCUAGAAUUAAGACAAGCAACAAAAAUCACAAGAAUGACUUGAAAAUGUAAAACCAAAUACCAGUGACAGGCCAUAACCACAUCAGCGACCUCAGUGGGAUUACUCACACUGAAUAAAGUUCAGUUCGAGUAUCAACCUCUGCAGGAUCAGGAGCCAACCUGAAACACUGCAAAGCUGUGCAAGCCUAGCUGGAAUCAGAUACAUUAACCAAAGGAAAAAAAUGAACUGUUGAAAACCUGGUUUUUUAGUGAGAGUACAUUAAUUACACACCAAUAGGCUGCUGCUGCUGCAAAAAACCCAGAGCCAAGGGAAAGCCGCUUGUGUGACAAUUCACAGCGUUGCGUUUUGGUAUCCACAGGACUCGGACCUCUUAGACCAAUUCAAAUGUAUCCAAGGAGUACAGCUGAAAUCACAGUUGCCACUACUGCACACAGAGGGACUGUGGAUACAAAAACACAGCGGCAAAUGGGAAAUGGCAAAAGCAUUAACUUGGGCUGGGCAGUGUUUCUGUUCUCCACACACACACAGGCCAGAACUGCCCUGUGAGUCUCCCAGGCCUCACGAGAGUGGUGGGUCACACGAGGAACCAGCAACUCCUCAGCAGGGCAGGUUUGUGCAAAAAGCCACCUCUGAUUGUCUGCAGGCUCCUCCCUUUGCCUCGGCAACCCCCGUGCCUCUGGUUUUGUGCAGAUUAUCCGGGGAUUUAUUUCCAAGGAGCAGCAGUUCUCAGGCAGAACCGGUUGUCUGCGGGGCAGCUUAUACGUGUGGGAAUAAAGGACACCAUCAGGCACGACUCUCCCCUUCUCGCUUCCCAGGCUCCAGCUCAGGAGCAGACAGACCAGGAGGGCAAGAGUAUCCCUGAGAACAACUGAGCUUGAAGGAGGAGCUCAAUUCUCUUUCACCUCAGAUAAAUAAACACCUUUCACUGGGACAUUCCGGCUAAAUUUGCAGAGCUGUGGCCAUUUACUCAGUGGCGCAGUUAAAGUGGCAAGACUGAAGUAACAGGGCAGGUAUCUGAUGCAAACCUACUGGCAUAAAACAUUAAAGACAUGGGGAAGUGGGAUCAGCAAAUAAUUAUACUCUUCUGGUAGCUUUUAGUGACACCAAACUUUUUUUCUUUUGAUUGCUCUCACUGUCCUCAAAAGAUAAGAGCCCUGCGCCGCAUUAACCGGCAUACCAGAAAACUGCAAAUAAAAUUAACAGAUUGAAUUGUCUGCCUCAAGAACACCCCCAAACCCAAGCAAAUGCAACCAGGCUCCUGUGGUUUGGGUUUUUUGUUUGGGUGCAGUUUUUGUUUGUGAUUUUAGGGGCCGUAUAAACACAAAUCCCUCGCGACCUCAAAGCCCAUCGGCACGUACAGUCAGCUGGGAGCAGACGAAGCUUGAACUUCCCUGAGGUCACAGGUAUUCCCAUCACCUCCAGCAAUAUCAAAGUUUCAAACUUAAGAAGAACUUUUAAAUCACUGCCAUCUUUUCUUUUCAGUUCAGAGGCUUCCUUCUUGAGCUACGAUAAGAACUAAUCUCGGUGCUGGACAAAAGAAUCAAGACUGCAAGUUCUCAUCUAUCCCUGCUAAGGUCUAUUUAAGUGCCUCCUACUUUGGUACGAGCAACAAAUGUAAUUGCUUCGUGGCCUGCGGGUGUUCACUGAACAAAAGGAGCUUUUGUGAAUAAACCACAGGUGUUACCUUUCUUGAUUAAAGUGAAAUAUGAUGAAAGAUUCUACAAUAUCGAAUGACAAAUUUACUAACUACUGAUUAAAUUGCCUUAUUUAAGUAAAUUGCAUCUAGUUAGGAUAAAAUAUACACCAUAGAAAUGCGGGAGUUUGUUUUAUCGCUCUAUACUUAAAGUCUCACAUAACUACUCCUUAAUCCUUUAUUUAUUAAUUCAGGACCAAGACUGAAUAAUGCUUAACAAAUCCUUUUUUUAAUGAUCCAGUUGCUCUAGGCACUGUUUCUGUAGGCUUAUCAUAAAUGUUGUUCAUAUUAAGGUUGCCAUCUGUACAAAACCCAACAACAUUAAUUAGCAUUUGCAAAACCAGCACAAGCAUUUACAUUUACUUUUUUGUGCUGAAAAAGCUACGGAAUUGUAGCACCCACACUGGAACUUAAAACACAUGUCAAAUCCACAUCUUCUGUGUAUCACUUAAAGGCUGAAAUACUGGAAUUUAAUAAUUCGAACACUUGCAAGCUUUGUUUACUUUACUUCCAUAAGUAUUCUCAUAUGAUCUAAACCAUACUGUUAAACACACAGGUCUGAAUCAGCCUGAAAAGCUACAUAUCUGAUUUUUUAAAAUCUCUAGCUGCAACUCUAAAUGGGAAUUAUGAAUCUAGCUACAUUUAGGAACUCCUGAAAAAAAAUCAGAAUACGUCAGUGAUUCAUCACUCCAGACUAUUAAUUAGCUUUCUAGAUUUACAGAAGAGCAGUAUUUUGGAAGAAAACAUUGAUUGCAGAUCCAGCAAAGAUUACUUAGCAGUUUGCACAGACCUUUCUCACAGCAAUAAUUAGGAAGGAUUUGAUUCUUUUCUUCUCCAGAAACCAGAUGAUGUAACAGGGUCACCCAAAACACAGGUUUGAGAACAAUAAAAAAAACCAACCCAGUGGGUUCAAACCCCAAGUGGAACUCCCUGGUUGGUUUCAUCAUCCUGAGCAGCUCCUGAAAAGUUAUUCCUGAACUCUGAGCGGAGGAUCAUGAAAUCCCAAAGGUUCAAACCGAUCUGACCAGCACAGACAAAGCUGUACUCUGCAUUUCCAUAGAGCAAACACAUCUAGUGCUAGAAAGUCAGAAAGGAGUCACUUGGAACGAUUGUCCCUCACAAUCAGGGAGGGCAUUUCUCUGAGGUUUUGGUUCAGGCAUGAAGUGGCUGCACGGAAGCAGCGGGGCAGUGUCAGAGCUGCACUUGGCCUGCACUCAAGACCAGCUGAUAGUGCAGCUGCCUCCUCUUGGCUCCGACUGGGGGAGAAAGAGCUGUUGGAGAAGGAUGUGAGAGACCUCGGGGAGGGCUCGCUCUCUGAGGAGCCUCUCUCUGCUGCCCCGUGCCCAGGCCAUGGUGCAGGCACUGCCCUCCUCCUGAGCACACACUGAACCCAAGCCCUGCUACUCGGGUGCUCUUGAAAUACCAAAACCAAAACUGCAAAGGUGCAAAGGCCAAUCCACAGAAGAAGAGCACAGAAGCAGCCCUGGAAAUAUUGGGAAGUAGGUUGGUAAAAUUCUUUGUGUUUCUUUUCCCUUCAGUAAUUUAGUUUUGACAAAUCAGAGUUUCGAUCUUUAAUUACUUCUCGGGCAUUUCAAGAUUAGCUUGAGUCAUGAACUCUCUGCUGGGAUAUGGAGUGAUCUGCAAACUGGACAGGUUCUGCAAACCAAACAAAUAUUGCAAAUCAGUCCUCCUCUCCCACCAGACAUUUAGCACAGCCACUGGUUAAAAUUAUGGCAUAACUUUCUCUCAGGCCUCUGGAACACUAGAACUAAGGAGAAGGAAAAAGGAAAUUUCUUACUCCAUCUCCUGAUCAGCAACAAUUAAAACUGACUUUACUGACGUACUAAAUCAUGAGGGUAAAUCAGCUAUUAAGAUACUCAGAACAAAGCAAAAAGAACUAGAGUUUUGGUAAGUUUAUUUUUAACUGCUAGUCAGGAUAUUUUAAAGGGACUGAGUGCCCUAAAAUACGAACUCCCUUCUCGGUGUACCCAAACCUGCAGAACUCUCUAGCAGUGAUGAUGGUGUGGUGUUUGCACGGUGUUAUCCUCAGUACCCACGCAGUAUUCUCACAGCACGUGACAAGGACUGUGGAAGAGCGAACAGUGCCGUGCAGGAGCACUGGUGUGAUGUGCAAACACGGGGAGAUGCAUUAUCCUGGGAGCGGUGUUAGCUCUGGAGCACAGCACAGGAUGCAGGGAUGCCAUCUCCGCAAUGAGCCUCCUUUUAGCACAAGGUAAACACACCCCCCCUCAGCCCCUCUGCCAGCAUUAGUGCUGAGCUGUGAUUGAUCACCAGCACAGGGUUGCUGAGAUAUGGAUUUGUAUCACGGCUUUUUAUCACCAGGACUUGCAAAAGGCAGUUCCUUAUUUACAGACUCCGGCUCUAUUAAGUGACAUUAUUAGGGACUACUUUUGUUUAAGUGACACAAAGGCUGAGCAUAUUGGUGGUUUAUGACAUACAAGCUGUUUUAAUCUGAUGGCUUCCCCCUCACUUUUUCAGCUUGUAAAUAGGAGCUGCAGCACAAGAACAUAUGGCACUAAAGAAAUUAAAGCUAAAGUAAAUGGCAUUAAAACAAAUUCAAAUAUAACAAUAGGAUACUUGGUCUGAAUUAUAAACCUGGAUCUGUAUUAAGACUUUUCAAAACAGGAGAUAAAAGGCUAAAUAUGAAAAAUAACCUUUCAGCUG